UCAGCCGCCGCGGUAAUACCAGCUCUCCGAGUGGUGUGGACGUUUAUUGGGCCUAAAGCAUCCGUAGCUGGCUGAACAAGUCCCCUGUUAAACCCACCGAUUUAAUCGUUGGCGUGCGGGGGAUACUGCUUGGCCAGGGGACGAGAGAAGCAGACGGUAUUCCCGGGGUAGGGGUGAAAUCCUAUAAUCCCGAGAAGACCACCAGUGGCGAAGGCUGUCUGCUAGAACGCGCCCGACGGUGAGGGAUGAAAGCUGGGGGAGCGAACCGGAUUAGAUACCCGGGUAGUCCCAGCUGUAAACGAUGCAGACUAGGUGUUUGGACGGCCACGUGCCGUUCUAGUGCCGCAGGGAAGCUGUUAAGUCUGCCGCCUGGGGAGUACGAUCGCAAGGUUGAAACUUAAAGGAAUUGGCGGGGGAGCACA
This 422-nucleotide ribosomal RNA is filed under the name uncultured archaeon. Its description in RNAcentral is "bacterial SSU rRNA". It matches the Rfam family "Archaeal small subunit ribosomal RNA", at positions 458 to 880 of the family's 1478-position model. The record is from RNAcentral.